Pteronotus mesoamericanus is the source of this 1624-nucleotide long non-coding RNA. RefSeq lists it as uncharacterized. Lineage: Eukaryota; Metazoa; Chordata; Mammalia; Chiroptera; Mormoopidae. The transcript has 3 exons. The record is from RefSeq and is a predicted model, not a curated record.
UGUCAAAAAGAUGCUAUUCCUGUGAUUAAAACCAUUACAGUCCUUCAAAGGUUUUACAUGACUUUCAGGCUUCAGCCUCAGUAGCAGCAGACUAAUGCAGAUUGUGACAAGCAUGACUCCCAUGAUGGAUAUUUGUGAGAGAAAGGACAGUAAAGAGUAAAACUCCUGGAAAUGAAGUUGGUGAAAGAGAACUUCAGAGUGCCAGCUUGUCAGUAAGGAGACCCCCAGCAGAUUCUUGUCAGACAUUUACUGAACACUGGGUGCUAACUGCAGGCUUGGUGUUGUACAUGCUGUCUGUUAUUUAAUACUGACAGCAAACUUGUGAAAAGCAUAAUACAGCUAUUUAAAAAAUCGCUAGAGAAGUUAAUUACACAAAACCAGAGCCAGCAGUUAGUGGGGCUGGAUUCUGAGCUCAGUUCUCCAACUCCAAAAUUUCAUGCUCUUUCUACUCCCUUCCCCAAAUGCAGCAUUUUUCUCUUGUUGGUUAAACAAGCAUAAUGUAUGAAGAUUAUAGCAUAUAUUGAGCACUAAAUUGUGUAAAAUUUUUAACAGGCAUUCUACAAAAUUCAGUUUGACAAAGUUUUAGAGUAUGACAAAAAAUUUUUCCAGCUUUUAUUAUUUGAAGACUGACUCUAGCCUCUAGAAGGAGAUCAUAUCCCAAUCAGUCCCAUAUUCUGUUCUAUUCAAGAGAGCCAACCAAUCUAGGUCAAUGUCAAGAGCAUUGAUCUCUAGUGCACAUUUGUACACCGAAGCAUGUGAGAGGAAAAUCAGCAUCUUAUUCAUCCUUAUUGCUAACUAAAAUAUGAAAAAAUUUGAGUUUUAAUAAUGGUUAAUCGUUGGAUUGAUAUUGGAGCCCUUAUAAAACCCCUGGACAAGAAUCAGCCACAUAAUUUGCAGGGCCCACUGCAAAAUGAAAAUGUAUGUUGUUUUCCCUAAAAAUUAUAAAAUGUUUUCAAGACAGUGAUAGCAAACAUUAAACCAGAUGCAAGGCCCUUUUGAGAAUGGGGAUCUGUGAGCCUGCACAGAUUUGCAUGCCUAGGAAGCCAACCCUGGCGACAAGUCAUUUUCUAUUUCUGAAGGAUUCUGAGGGAGGAAUAACACUUCACGCGUUUGUUCCCUGUGGCAUAUAAAGGAACGGACAUGGACUACAUUACCUAGUUUUAUCUAACUAUCGGGGAAUUGAUGGGGCUUCAAAAGAUUCCCACAAAGACAUUGUGGAUAUUUAUCAUGCGAGCCCAGGUGAAUGGCAAGAUAAUGGCAGGGGUGACAGCCUUUGUGCUCCUAGAAGAAUCCUCUUGUAGUAAAUGAGGUUACUUUAAAAAAAUGAGAAAAAAUUUAAAAUAUGUAUUUGAAACCACUUUCAAAACAGAGUUAGCCUGUGCUAAGUAUAUAUUUUAUCUUUUAAGAAUACCUAAUGAUAACAAAAAGCCAUCACAAUUAGCAAGGUUUUCAAAGUAUGACAUCAUCUAAUGUGUUUUGAUUUCUUAAUUUGUAUAUGCUCUGACUGGGGGAUCAGGGCGGGCGCUGCAGGGGAGAGCAAUGGGGGGAAAACUGGGACAACUGUAAUUGAGCAACAAUAAAAAAAGAAUUUACAUAAUUAUACAAUCUACAUUUAAAAAAUAAA